UCGGUUCAAUGCUCUAGCAAAUAGAAAAUAUCCAUAAGCAGAAUGAAGAUCUGUAUAAGAAACCAAUUUUAUUAUUUGAAAAAAGUUGAAUUUCUUAGAAAUCAAUCAGCAGUAAGCAUAGCUGUGAGUUCCUGUUUACCUAACUUUGGUAAAAAACCAAUUUGUGAUGUGUAGCCUUACCUUCUCAAUUGCCAAAGAGAAAUUCAAGAGGUAAUGAAACUGAGACUUGGUCAUUCCAGUUAUCACUGUUGUGGACUGAACUAGAACAGACCUGCUGAAUUAUGUGGUCUUGGUUGAACUUUAUGAUUACGACUUUACUUUCAGAGGCUAUCUAAGCGCUGAGAUGGAUAAUCCUAGCUUAAUCUCGUUUUUCGUAUUUUUUGGGGGUACAUUUCCUUCCUUUGUAAUUUUUUUUGGGUACAUUUCCUAGUCUCUAUACUACUUUAGCUAGUGAGGGAAAGAAAAUCCAGAGUAAUGCAAGCAUGUGAGGCUGCAUGGAUUUGAACCAAUGGAUUUAAUUUGAAGUUUUGAUUAAAUGGGAAUUUUGAUUGGAUCUGGUCAAUUGUACGUUGUAACAUUGAAUUGGAAUCUGGACAUAAGCAAUCAGCUCAGAGUGAGAUUGUUUAUUGUUGAAAUCAACUGGACCACUAAGCAAUAUUUUGACUGAUUUCAGAGCAAGAGAAUUGAAGGAAGGGAUAUAUAUGGCUAGCUGUUUCUAUAGUUUUCCAAUGUAUAUGUACCCGGUUUCAUCACUGCCAUAAGAUAACAUGGGCAGAGAGAUUCAAAGAGGAGAAAAAAAUAUAGAGACUGACAUCAUGGAAAAGGAUUUGUUGAAAGAAAAUUGAAGAGACGAAGACGGAUCAGCCACUAGAAGCUCUGUCCACAAUACCCCACCAGUUAUGAUGCAGAAAAAGCUCUAGUCCAGGUACUUGGUUUUUAUUUUUUGUUUUGUUUUGUGAGUCUGAUUUUGUUACUUAUUCCUCUGUUUUGUGUUGCCAUUUGUGUUUUCUUUUAUGUGGUAGCCUAGUGGGAUGUUAGUAAAAGGUGGAGGUUAUUUUUAUUUUUGAGAUGUUAGUGUGGAAAAAAUUUCCGAAGGUG
Molecule: long non-coding RNA, 1098 nt
Filed under: Panax ginseng (ginseng)
Lineage: Eukaryota; Viridiplantae; Streptophyta; Magnoliopsida; Apiales; Araliaceae
Description: long non-coding RNA (PGIN_LNC014944)
Source: RNAcentral